UGAACGUCGAACGAGGUCGCCUUCGGGCAAUGACCAAGUGGCGAACGGGUGCGUAACACGUGAGAAACCUGCCCCGAAGACUGGGACAACCACGGGAAACUGUGGCUAAUACCAGAUGCCCUCCGCUGAUCGCAUGAUCGGCAGAGGAAAUGCUCCGGCGCUUCGGGAGGGUCUCGCGGCCUAUCAGCUUGUUGGUGAGGUAACGGCUCACCAAGGCAUCGACGGGUAGCUGGUCUGAGAGGACGAUCAGCCACACUGGGACUGAGACACGGCCCACACUCCUGCGGGAGGCAGCAGUGGGGAAUCUUGCGCAGUGGGCGAAAGCCUGACGCAGCAACGCCGCGUGGGGGAUGAAGGCUCUCGGGUUGUAAACCCCUUUCAGCAGGGACGAAAUUGACGGUACCUGCAGAAGAAGCCCCGGCCAACUACGUGCCAGCAGCCGCGGUGACACGUAGGGGGCGAGCGUUGUCCGGAAUUAUUGGGCGUAAAGAGCUCGUAGGCGGUUUAGUAAGUCAGAUGUGAAAGGUUGGGGCUCAACCCUAAGACUGCAUCCGAUACUGCUAUGACUAGAGUCCGGUAGAGGAGUGUGGAAUUCCUGGUGUAGCGGUGAAAUGCGCAGAUAUCAGGAGGAACACCGACGGCGAAGGCAGCACUCUGGGCCGGUACUGACGCUCAGGAGCGAAAGCGUGGGUAGCAAACAGGAUUAGAUACCCUGGUAGUCCACGCCGUAAACGUUGGGCACUAGGUGUGGGGCUUAUCAACGGGUUCCGUGCCGUAGCUAACGCAUUAAGUGCCCCGCCUGGGGAGUACGGCCGCAAGGCUAAAACUCAAAGGAAUUGACG
This 842-nucleotide ribosomal RNA is filed under the name uncultured bacterium. Its description in RNAcentral is "bacterial SSU rRNA". It matches the Rfam family "Bacterial small subunit ribosomal RNA", at positions 56 to 915 of the family's 1533-position model. The record is from RNAcentral.